This 301-nucleotide ribosomal RNA is filed under the name uncultured bacterium. RNAcentral's name for it is "partial 16S ribosomal RNA". It matches the Rfam family "Bacterial small subunit ribosomal RNA", at positions 509 to 807 of the family's 1533-position model. The record is from RNAcentral.
CAGCAGCCGCGGUAAGACAGAGGAUGCAAGCGUUAUCCGGAAUGAUUGGGCGUAAAGCGUCUGUAGGUGGCUUUUCAAGUCCGCCGUCAAAUCCCAGGGCUCAACCCUGGACAGGCGGUGGAAACUACCAAGCUGGAGUACGGUAGGGGCAGAGGGAAUUUCCGGUGGAGCGGUGGAAUGCGUUGAGAUCGGAAAGAACCCCAACGGCGAAAGCACUCUGCUGGGCCGACACUGACACUGAGAGACGAAAGCUAGGGGAGCAAAUGGGAUUAGAUACCCGUGUAGUCCCUGUCUCUUAUAC